This 254-nucleotide ribosomal RNA is filed under the name uncultured bacterium. RNAcentral's name for it is "partial 16S ribosomal RNA". It matches the Rfam family "Bacterial small subunit ribosomal RNA", at positions 524 to 776 of the family's 1533-position model. The record is from RNAcentral.
UACGGAGGGGGCAAGCGUUGUUCGGAAUUACUGGGCGUAAAGGGCGCGCAGGCGGCUGCUCAAGUCAGGCGUGAAAGGCCUGGGCUCAACCCGGGAAUUGCGCUUGAGACUGGGCUGGCUUGAGUGCGGGAGAGGAUGGUGGAAUUCCCGGUGUAGAGGUGAAAUUCGUAGAUAUUGGGAAGAACACCGGUGGCGAAGGCGGCCAUCUGGACCGCAACUGACGCUGAGGCGCGAAAGCGUGGGGAGCAAACAGG